RNAcentral lists this small RNA (26 nucleotides) under Bombyx mori (domestic silkworm). Its description in RNAcentral is "ovarian small RNA-16721". Lineage: Eukaryota; Metazoa; Arthropoda; Insecta; Lepidoptera; Bombycidae. The record is from RNAcentral.
GCCGUGUCGAGGAUGCGGAGGAAAGA